RNAcentral lists this RNase P RNA (419 nucleotides) under Helicobacter jaachi. Its description in RNAcentral is "RNase P RNA component class A". It matches the Rfam family "Bacterial RNase P class A". Rfam says of the family: Ribonuclease P (RNase P) is a ubiquitous endoribonuclease, found in archaea, bacteria and eukarya as well as chloroplasts and mitochondria. Its best characterised activity is the generation of mature 5'-ends of tRNAs by cleaving the 5'-leader elements of precursor-tRNAs. The record is from RNAcentral. Lineage: Bacteria; Pseudomonadati; Campylobacterota; Epsilonproteobacteria; Campylobacterales; Helicobacteraceae.
UAGGCAUAGUAGGUGGUUGCUUUUGGGAUACAAAAGAGGAAAGUCCGAGCUACAAAGACAGGAUUCCAUUUAACAAAUGGCUAGGGUAACCUAAGGGAAAGUGCAACAGAAAAUAACCGCCGCGUAAAAGUGAGAUGUGGUCUAGAUUCUAUAAAUCAUAGCGAGCAUUUAUAGAAUCUAGGUGGCACAUCUAAGUUAGAUUCUGUAGUGUUAUAGAAUCUAGCGCGGUAAGGGUGAAAAGGUGGGGUAAGAGCCUACCGAUUUUGCAGCAAUGCAAAAUGCUAUGCAAACCCAAUCCGUAGCAAGAAGAGUAUGGUUAAGGUCUUAAAGUUAAACUCUUCGCUUGAGGUAUGUUGCGAAACAUAUCCUAGAUAAAUAGCCACCCACGACAGAACUCGGCUUAUCGCUAUGCCUAAGUA